GACCAGAUGCCAAGGGUGCCAGAAUCUGCUCGACCGCGCGAAGGCGAGCAGAAUCCCAAGCAUUGAAGAAUUUUCUAAGGCAUGCAAAGGCUCACGAAGUCUCGAAGCCUGUUUAUGGCGAGACCAGAAGCCAAGCGUGCCAGGAUCUGCUCGACCACGCGAAGGCGAGCAGAAUCCCAAGCAUUGAAGAAUUUUCUAAGGCAUGAAAAGGCUCAUCAAGUCUCAAAGCCUGUUUAUGGCGAGACCAGAUGCCAAGCGUGCCAGAAUCUGCUCGUCCGCGCGAAGGCGAGCCGAAUCCCAAGCAUUGAAGAAUUUUCUAAGGUAUGCAAAGGCUCAUCAAGUUUCAAAGCCUGUUUAUGGCGACACCGGAUGCCAAGCGUGCCAGGAUCUGCUCGACCGCGCGAAGGCGAGCAGAAUCCCAAGCAUUGAAGAAUUUUCUAAGGCAUGCAAAGGCUCACGAAGUCUCAAAGCCUGUUUAUGGCGAGACCAGAAGCCAAGCGUGCCAGGAUCUGCUCGACCGCGCGAAGGCGAGCAGAAUCCCAAGCAUUGAAGAAUUUUCUAAGGCAUGCAACGGCUCACUAAAUCUCAAAGCCUGUUUAUGGGGAGACCAAAAGCCAAGCGUGCCAGGAUCUGCUCGACCGCGCGAAGGCGAGCAGAAUCCCAAGCAUUGAAGAAUUUUCUAAGGCAAGCGAAUGCUCACGAAGUCUCGACGCCUGUUUAUGGCGAGACCAGAAGCCAAGCGUGCCAGGAUCUGCUCGACCACGCGAAGGCGAGCAGAAUCCCAAGCAUUGAGGAAUUUUCUAAGGCAUGCAAAGGCUCAUCAAGUUUCAAAGCCUGUUUCUGGCUAGACCAGAUGCCAAGCGUGGCAGAAUCUGCUCGACCGCGCGAAGGCGAGCAGAAUCCCAAGCAUUGAAGAAUUUUCUAAGGCAUGCAAAGGCUCAUCAAGUCUCAAUGCCUGUUUAUGGCGAGACCAGAUGCCAAGCGUGCCAGAAUCUGCUCGACCGCAAGAAGGCGAGCAGAAUCCCAAGCAUUGAAGAAUUUUCUAAGGCAUGCAAAGGCUCAUCAAGUCUCAAUGCCUGUUUAUGGCGAGACCAGAUGCCAAGCGUGCCAGAAUCUGCUCGACCGCAAGAAGGCGAGCAGAAUCCCAAGCAUUGAAGAAUUUUCUAAGGCAUGCAAUGGCUCAUAGAGUUUCAAAGCCUGUUUAUGGCGACACCAGAUGCCAAGCGUGCCAGGAUCUGCUCGACCGCGCGAAGGCGAGCAGAAUCCCAAGCAUUGAAGAAUUUUCUAAGGCAUGCAAAGGCUCAUCAAGUCUCAAAGCCUGUUUAUGGCGAGACCAGAUGCCAAGCGUGCCAGAAUCUGCUCGACCGCGCGAAGGCGAGCAGAAUCCCAAGCAUUGAAGAAUUUUCUACGUCAUGCAAAGGCUCACAAAGUCUCAAAGCCUUUUUAUGGCGAGACCAGAAGCCAAGCGUGCCAGGAUCUACUCGACCGCACGAAGGCGAGCAGAAUCCCAAGCAUUGAAGAAUUUUCUAAGGCAUGCAAAGGCUCAUCAAGUCUCAAAGCCUGUUUAUGGCGAGACCAGAUGCCAAGCGUGCCAGAAUCUGCUCGACCGCAAGAAGGCGAGCAGAAUCCCAAGCAUUGAAGAAUUUUCUAAGGCAUGCAAUGGCUUAUAGAGUUUCAAAGCCUGUUUAUGGCGACACCAGAUGCCAAGCGUGCCAGGAUCUGCUCGACCGCGCGAAGGCGAGCAGAAUCCCAAGCAUUGAAGAAUUUUCUAAGGCAUGCAAAGGCUCAUCAAGUCUCAAAGCCUGUUUAUGGCGAGACCAGAUGCCAAGCGUGCCAGAAUCUGCUCGACCGCGCGAAGGCGAGCAGAAUCCCAAGCAUUGAAGAAUUUUCUAAGGCAUGCAAAGGCUCAUCAAGUCUCAAAGCCUGUUUAUGGCGAGACCAGAAGCCAAGCGUGCCAGGAUCUGCUCGACCACGCGAAGGCGAGCAGAAUCCCAAGCAUGAAGGAAUUUUUAAGGGCAUGCAAAGGCUCAUCAAGUUUUCAAAGCCUGUUUCUGGCUAGACCAGAUGCCAAGCGUGGCAGAAUCUGCUCGACCGCGCGAAGGCGAGCAGAAUCCCAAGCAUUGAAGAAUUUUGUAAGGCAUGCAAAGGCUCAUCAAGUCUCAAUGCCUGUUUAUGGCGAGACCAGAUGCCAAGCGGGCCAGAAUCUGCUCGACCGCGCGAAGGCGAGCAGAAUCCCAAGCAUUGAAGAAUUUUCUAAGGCAUGCAAAGGCUCACGAAGUCUCAAAGCCUGUUUAUGGCGAGACCAGAAGCCAAGCGUGCCAGGAUCUGCUCGACCACGCGAAGGCGAGCAGAAUCCCAAGCAUUGAGGAAUUUUCUAAGGCAUGCAAAGGCUCAUCAAGUUUCAAAGCCUGUUUCUGGCUAGACCAGAUGCCAAGCGUGGCAGAAUCUGCUCGACCGCGCGAAGGCGAGCAGAAUCCCAAGCAUUGAAGAAUUUUCUAAGACAUGCAAAUGCUCACCAAGUCUCAAAGCCUGUUUAUGGCGACACCAGAUGCCAAGAGUGCCAGGAUCUGCUCGACCGCGCGAAGGCGAGCUGAAUCCCAAGCAUUGAAGAAUUUUCUAAGGCAUGCAAAGGCUCACGAAGUCUCAAAGCCUGUUUAUGGCGAGACCAAAAGCCAAACGUGCCAGGAUCUGCUCGACCGCGCGAAGGCGAGCAGAAUACCAAGCAUUGAAGAAUUUCCUAAGGGAUGCAAAGGCUCAUCAAGUGUCAAAGCCUGUUUAUGGCCAGACCAGAUACCAAGGGUGCCAGAAUCUGCUCGACCGCGCGAAGGCGAGCAGGAUCCCAAGCAUUGAAGAAUUUUCUAAGGCAUGCAAUGGCUCAUCAAGUUUCAAAGCCUGUUUAUGGCGACACCAGAUGCCAAGCGUGCCAGGAUCUGCUCGACCGCGCGAGGGCGAGCAGAAUCCCAAGCAUUGAAGAAUUUUCUACGUCAUGCAAAGGCUCACAAAGUCUCAAAGCCUGUUUAUGGCGAGACCAGAAGCCAAGCGUGCCAGGAUCUGCUCGACCGCACGAAGGCGAGCAGAAUCCCAAGCAUUGAAGAAUUUUCUAAGGCAUGCAAAGGCUCAUCAAGUCUCAAAGCCUGUUUAUGGCGAGACCAGAUGCCAAGCGUGCCAGAAUCUGCUCGACCGCGCGAAGGCGAGCAGAAUCCCAAGCAUUGAAGAAUUUUCUAAGGCAUGCAAAGGCUCACGAAGUCUCGAAGCCUGUUUAUGGCGAGACCAGAAGCCAAGCGUGCCAGGAUCUGCUCGACCGCGCGAAGGCGAGCAGAAUCCCAAGCAUUGAAGAAUUUUCUAAGGCAUGCAAAGGCUCAUCAAGUCUCAAAGCCUGUUUAUGGCGAGACCAGAUGCCAAGCGUGCCAGAAUCUGCUCGACCGCGCGAAGGCGAGCCGAAUCCCAAGCAUUGAAGAAUUUUCUAAGGUAUGCAAAGGCUCAUCAAGUUUCAAAGCCUGUUUAUGGCGACACCGGAUGCCAAGCGUGCCAGGAUCUGCUCGACCGCGCGAAGGCGAGCAGAAUCCCAAGCAUUGAAGAAUUUUCUAAGGCAUGCAAAGGCUCACGAAGUCUCAAAGCCUGUUUAUGGCGAGACCAGAAGCCAAGCGUGCCAGGAUCUGCUCGACCGCGCGAAGGCGAGCAGAAUCCCAAGCAUUGAAGAAUUUUCUAAGGCAUGCAACGGCUCACUAAAUCUCAAAGCCUGUUUAUGGCGAGACCAAAAGACAAGCGUGCCAGGAUCUGCUCGACCGCGCGAAGGCGAGCAGAAUCCCAAGCAUUGAAGAAUUUUCUAAGGCAAGCGAAUGCUCACGAAGUGUCGACGCCUGUUUAUGGCGAGACCAGAAGCCAAGCGUGCCAGGAUCUGCUCGACCACGCGAAGGCGAGCAGAAUCCCAAGCAUUGAGGAAUUUUCUAAGGCAUGCAAAGGCUCAUCAAGUUUCAAAGCCUGUUUCUGGCUAGACCAGAUGCCAAGCGUGGCAGAAUCUGCUCGACCGCGCGAAGGCGAGCAGAAUCCCAAGCAUUGAAGAAUUUCUAAGACAUGCAAAUGCUCACCAAGUCUCAAAGCCUGUUUAUGGCGAGACCAGAUGCCAAGCGUGCCAGAAUAUGCUCGACCGCGCGAAGGUGAGCAGAAUCCCAAGCAUUGAAGAAUUUUCUACGUCAUGCAAAGGCUCACAACGUCUCAAAGCCUGUUUAUGGCGAGACCAGAUGCCAAGCUUGCCAGGAUCUGCUCGACCGCACGAACGCGAGCAGAAUCCCAAGUAUUGAAGAAUUUUCUAAGGCAUGCAAAGGCUCAUCAAGUUUCAAAGCCUGUUUAUGGCGAGACCAGAUGCCAAGCGUACCAGGAUCUGCUCGACCGCGCGAAGGCG
Molecule: long non-coding RNA, 4402 nt
Filed under: Citrus x clementina
Lineage: Eukaryota; Viridiplantae; Streptophyta; Magnoliopsida; Sapindales; Rutaceae
Description: Citrus clementina (C. clementina) long non-coding RNA (CCLE_LNC004768)
Source: RNAcentral